RNAcentral lists this ribosomal RNA (374 nucleotides) under uncultured organism. RNAcentral describes it as "partial 16S ribosomal RNA". It matches the Rfam family "Bacterial small subunit ribosomal RNA", at positions 527 to 897 of the family's 1533-position model. The record is from RNAcentral.
GUAGGGAGCAAACGUUGUCCGGAUUCAUUGGGCGUAAAGGGCUCGUAGGCGGUUCAACAAGUCGGUCGUGAAAACCCGGGGCUCAACCCCGGGACGCCGGUCGAAACUGUUGUGACUAGAGUUCGGUAGAGGUGAGUGGAAUUCUCGGUGUAGCGGUGGAAUGCGCAGAUAUCGAGAGGAACACCAUUAGCGAAGGCGGCUCACUGGGCCGAUACUGACGCUGAGGAGCGAAAGCGUGGGGAGCAAACAGGAUUAGAUACCCUGGUAGUCCACGCCGUAAACGAUGAACACUAGGUGUGGCGGACUGAUUCAUGUCUGCUGCGCCGUAGCUAACGCAUUAAGUGUUCCGCCUGGGAGCACGGCCGCAAGGCUAA